GUGGGGAAUAUUGGACAAUGGGGGGAACCCUGAUCCAGCCAUGCCGCGUGUGUGAAGAAGGCCUUUUGGUUGUAAAGCACUUUAAGCGAGGAGGAGGCUACCGAGAUUAAUACUCUUGGAUAGUGGACGUUACUCGCAGAAUAAGCACCGGCUAACUCUGUGCCAGCAGCCGCGGUAAUACAGAGGGUGCAAGCGUUAAUCGGCUUUACUGGGCGUAAAGCGCGCGUAGGUGGCCAAUUAAGUCAAAUGUGAAAUCCCCGAGCUUAACUUGGGAAUUGCAUUCGAUACUGGUUGGCUAGAGUAUGGGAGAGGAUGGUAGAAUUCCAGGUGUAGCGGUGAAAUGCGUAGAGAUCUGGAGGAAUACCGAUGGCGAAGGCAGCCAUCUGGCCUAAUACUGACACUGAGGUGCGAAAGCAUGGGGAGCAAACAGGAUUAGAAACCCUUGUAGUCC
This 451-nucleotide ribosomal RNA is filed under the name uncultured bacterium. RNAcentral's name for it is "partial 16S ribosomal RNA". It matches the Rfam family "Bacterial small subunit ribosomal RNA", at positions 354 to 796 of the family's 1533-position model. The record is from RNAcentral.